Molecule: ribosomal RNA, 398 nt
Filed under: uncultured Oscillospiraceae bacterium
Lineage: Bacteria; Bacillati; Bacillota; Clostridia; Eubacteriales; Oscillospiraceae
Description: bacterial SSU rRNA
Rfam family: Bacterial small subunit ribosomal RNA
Source: RNAcentral
UGGGGAAUAUUGCACAAUGGGGGAAACCCUGAUGCAGCAACGCCGCGUGAGGGAAGAAGGUUUUCGGAUUGUAAACCUCUGUCCCUGGUGACGAAGACAGUGAUGGUAACCAGGGAGGAAGCCACGGCUAACUACGUGCCAGCAGCCGCGGUAAUACGUAGGUGGCAAGCGUUGUCCGGAUUUACUGGGUAUAAAGGGAGCGCAGGCGGGGAAGCAAGUCAGCGGUGAAAUACAUGGGCUUAACCCAUGAACUGCCGUUGAAACUGUUUUUCUUGAGUGAAGUAGAGGCAGGCGGAAUUCCGAGUGUAGCGGUGAAAUGCGUAGAUAUUCGGAGGAACACCAGUGGCGAAGGCGGCCUGCUGGGCUUUUACUGACGCUGAGGCUCGAAAGCGUGGGGA